Molecule: ribosomal RNA, 492 nt
Filed under: uncultured bacterium
Lineage: Bacteria
Description: partial 16S ribosomal RNA
Rfam family: Bacterial small subunit ribosomal RNA
Source: RNAcentral
AGUGAACGCUGGCGGUAGGCCUAACACAUGCAAGUCGAACGGCAGCACAGUAAGAGCUUGCUCUUACGGGUGGCGAGUGGCGGACGGGUGAGGAAUACAUCGGAAUCUACUUUUUCGUGGGGGAUAACGUAGGGAAACUUACGCUAAUACCGCAUACGACCUACGGGUGAAAGCAGGGGAUCUUCGGACCUUGCGCGAUUGAAUGAGCCGAUGUCGGAUUAGCUAGUUGGCGGGGUAAGGGCCCACCAAGGCGACGAUCCGUAGCUGGUCUGAGAGGAUGAUCAGCCACACUGGAACUGAGACACGGUCCAGACUCCUACGGGAGGCAGCAGUGGGGAAUAUUGGACAAUGGGCGCAAGCCUGAUCCAGCCAUACCGCGUGGGUGAAGAAGGCCUUCGGGUUGUAAAGCCCUUUUGUUGGGAAAGAAAAGCAGCAGGUUAAUACCCCGCUGUUCUGACGGUACCCAAAGAAUAAGCACCGGCCAACUUCGUG